Non-coding RNA from Pocillopora verrucosa, 1861 nucleotides. Lineage: Eukaryota; Metazoa; Cnidaria; Anthozoa; Scleractinia; Pocilloporidae. The record is from RefSeq and is a predicted model, not a curated record.
CGCUGGUUCCCAGUCUGCGGGUCUCAUUGCGCAUGUACCAAAUCGGAGCAUGAGCCUCGAAGGGUGCGUUUGCUGGAAAUUGGUGAUAUACAGCGAGUGUAGAUUAUUUUACUCGGUAUAAGAGGUCCUGUAUCUGAAUUUGGGACAAGGUGAAUGCUACAUCUUCUCUAUAAUGAGUUGAGCAAGAAAUAGGUCCUGUAUCUGAAUUUGGGACAAGGUGAAUACCAUAUCUUCUCUAUAAUGAGUUGAGCAAGAAAUAGGAUAGCUGGUGUUUCCAAGUUAUACGGUGCGGUCUCAAUUAAGCUUGAGGUCGGUUUGUGUGUAAAAGCGGUUUUUGCAUGAGUGGUGUAGUAUGUGAUUGAGGCAACUAUUGGAACCAGGUGAGUCCCUGGCUGAGGCCCUUUGAAAAUUUAUUUAUGGUUGGCUGAGUUUUGAUGGAGGAUCAGAAAAACAGUGGGCACAGAGGACCAGAGGAACAGUGGCACAGAGGACCAGUGGAAUAGUGGGAACAGAGAUCCAGAGGAACAGUGGGCACUUGGGCCAGUGGAACAGUGGGUACAGAGAACCAGUGGAACAGUGGGAACAGAGGACCAGAGGAACAGUGGACCAGAGGAACAGUGGGCACUUGGGCCAGUGGAACAGUGGGUACAGAGAACCAGUGGAGCAGUGGGUACAGAGGACCAGUGGGUACAAAGGACCAGAAGAACAGUGGGUACAGAGGACCAGAGGAACAGCGAGACCAGAAGAACAGUGGGCACAGAGGACCAGUGGGUACAGAGGACCAGAGGAACAUUGGGAACAGAGGAAUAGUGGGAACAGAGGAAUAGUGGGAACAGAGGAAUAGUGGGAACAGAGGAAUAGUGGGAACAGAGGGAUAGUGGGAACAGAGGAAUAGUGGGAACAGAGGAAUAAUGGGCACAGAGGACCAGAGGACCAGUGGGUACAGAGGACCAGAGGAACAGUGGGCACAGAGGACCAGUGGGUACAGAGAACCAGUGGAGCAGUGGGUACAGAGAACCAGUGGAGCAGUGGGUACAGAGGACCAGUGGGUACAGAGGACCAGAGGAACAGCAAGACCAGAGGACCAGUGAGUACAAAGGACCAGAGGAACAGUGGGAAUAGAAGAAUAGUGGGAACAGAGGAACUGUGGGCACAGAGGACCAGUUAGUACAGAGGGACAGUGGGCACAGAGGACCAGAGGAACAGUGGAUACAGAGGACUAAAGGAACAGUGGGUAUAGAGGACCAAAGGAACAGUGGGCACAGAGGAACAGAGGGAACAGAGGAACAGUGGGUACAAAAGACCAGGGGAACAGUGGGUACAGAAGACCAGAGAAAAAGUGAGUACAGAGGACCAGAGGAAGUUUGGGUGUAGAGGAAUGGGAGAACAGUGGGGAACAUGGGAAAAAAGGAUCGGAAAGAAGCCCCGAUUAUUAAGUUGCGAAGGUUGAUAUAUUUAGUUAUUUGCCAUGUUGUCGUUUGAGUUUUAUUUGUGAGAAAAGUAAAUUGUAAGAGCUAUUCUUAGGUUAAAUGAAUUUUAAAUAUUGAUAUUAAUGUUUGAGUACAUUAUAGUCCCAUAUAAAAAUUGAAUUAAAGAGUUGCGGCUAAUAUAACUAUUUUUAAAACCUUUUCUCAAGUUUCAAGAAAAAAUUAUCGAGAACUUGUAAUAUGUUACAGCUUAAUAUAGCAACAAGAUCUAUUCAUUUUCGAAGUGACUGUUUGUCUUAUGCGCAACAAUAACAAAAAUUCAACAAAGCUUUAAAAAAUUUAUGGCAUUCCUCAGCACGUUUGAUGGUGUUCACUUCUUUGAGGAACAUAGUUCAAUUUGUCUUUUCAAUAACGCAGCCUUACGGUCAGUUUGA